Long non-coding RNA from Gigantopelta aegis, 1508 nucleotides. RefSeq lists it as uncharacterized. Lineage: Eukaryota; Metazoa; Mollusca; Gastropoda; Neomphalida; Peltospiridae. The transcript has 3 exons. The record is from RefSeq and is a predicted model, not a curated record.
ACUAACGAACUCCCUUUUGCCAAUACGUUUUCCUUGAGUUUUGUUUGUCUUGUUCGUUUUGUUUUUAAUUUGUUUAUGUUUUCAGUUCUUCGCUUUGAAACAAUUAAACAUUAAUCAUGCAGUGCACUAGUACAUUACGGAAACGGGACUCCUUUCGAUUGUAUAAGAUUCUCCGCGACAGUCCCCCAUCGAUUAUGAAUCACCGAGCAAGCUUCACCAUGGUGGAUAGUUGCCAUGAAGUUUGGGGGCUGAUUGCCGUCGCAAAUUAGGUUAUGAUCUCCGUGCAGAAAUGAAAAAGACAAAGCCCGACCAAAUCGAGUGAAAACGUCUCUUUCUCCUCCGACAGAUCCAGGCGAAAACAUUCAGACUGUGGAUGGUGGCGAUCGAUAGGCAACACUGGGAGCAAGGCGGUAUAAAACCGUCCCGCCAAACUGCGCGAGCCGUCUCGCGCAAUUUCCCGCUACCUACCGUAUCGUCUUCUUCUCAAGUCUGCUAAAAAAAAGAAGAGGAAAAGUGAAAAAUAUUAAUGGACGACACUGCAGUGAGAGAGUUGUCCCUCCGGACCGAGCUCCACCUGGUGUGAGGGAUCAGGCUUUUGGACUCUGGACGUAAUUGUGGCAGAGAUUAAUCGGCUGAUGAUACCAGAACUCGGAGUCCCGAGCCGCUCGGCCGCAUUCGUGUGUGAAGGUUCGGACGUCGUCGACAGCAGAAACCCAAAUGCAUCUGUAAGUGUCGUUCGCAGAAACCUUUCAAUUGGAUACUGUUGGUCACGUGAUGACAGCCAAAUCGUCCCACUUGUUUUAAGAUUUUAGUUUUGUUAGUUUUGUUGGAAGGAAAAGGAAAAUACACCAGUUCGCCCGAAACGUUGUCUUGGACGUCGUUGUCAGUGGUUUUGUUGUUGUUGUUAUUGUUAAGACGAGGUUCACUACAUUGUUUGUUUUAUUCUUUAAGACGUUGUUGAUGACUUUGGGUUCUCUAAGACUUGAUCCACAACGGUCUUUUAUUAAAAAUAUUUUACGACGUGCUUUCACUAAAACGUACAUCACGACGUUGUUGAUGACUUUGGGUUCUCUAAGACUUGAUCCACAACGGUCUUUUAUUAAGAAUAUUUUACGACGUGCUUUCACUAAGACGUACAUCACGACGUUGUUGUGAAUGUGAAAUGUCUGACGAUGUUGUUAUGAAGAUGUAUUCGAUGACAUGACUUCUGAUUUGUGUCCAAUUGGAUCUUGCCGCUGAAGGCGAUCAUAUUUUGGAGAGAGAUAACUCGUAACUCUGUGGUAUGUGCCGUACUGUACUAAACUGGACUGGGUUGAGUUCUAUGUGCUGCUGAGUAAACAGAUUAAAGCAGAUCUUCUGGACCCCUCACCAAAGUUUCAAAACAGACUGAGUGCUGAGACAACAUCGAUUAGCAGACGUCUUCUUUAACACACCGCCGACCAGGACGACAAAUGGACAUAUUUCUACACAAAGGAAUGGAAUUUCGCUGGCGCAGGCAUCACCGCGGU